Molecule: ribosomal RNA, 720 nt
Filed under: Comamonas aquatica
Lineage: Bacteria; Pseudomonadati; Pseudomonadota; Betaproteobacteria; Burkholderiales; Comamonadaceae
Description: bacterial SSU rRNA
Rfam family: Bacterial small subunit ribosomal RNA
Source: RNAcentral
ACGGUAACAGGUCUUCGGAUGCUGACGAGUGGCGAACGGGUGAGUAAAACAUCGGAACGUGCCUAGUAGUGGGGGAUAACUACUCGAAAGAGUGGCUAAUACCGCAUGAGAUCUACGGAUGAAAGCAGGGGAUCGAAAGACCUUGUGCUACUAGAGCGGCCGAUGGCAGAUUAGGUAGUUGGUGGGAUAAAAGCUUACCAAGCCGACGAUCUGUAGCUGGUCUGAGAGGACGAUCAGCCACACUGGGACUGAGACACGGCCCAGACUCCUACGGGAGGCAGCAGUGGGGAAUUUUGGACAAUGGGCGAAAGCCUGAUCCAGCAAUGCCGCGUGCAGGAUGAAGGCCUUCGGGUUGUAAACUGCUUUUGUACGGAACGAAAAGCCCUGGGUUAAUACCCUGGGGUCAUGACGGUACCGUAAGAAUAAGCACCGGCUAACUACGUGCCAGCAGCCGCGGUAAUACGUAGGGUGCAAGCGUUAAUCGGAAUUACUGGGCGUAAAGCGUGCGCAGGCGGUUUUGUAAGACAGAGGUGAAAUCCCCGGGCUCAACCUGGGAACUGCCUUUGUGACUGCAAGGCUAGAGUACGGCAGAGGGGGAUGGAAUUCCGCGUGUAGCAGUGAAAUGCGUAGAUAUGCGGAGGAACACCGAUGGCGAAGGCAAUCCCCUGGGCCUGUACUGACGCUCAUGCACGAAAGCGUGGGGAGCAAACAGGAUUAGAU